UUAGAGUUUGAUCCUGGCUCAGAUUGAACGCUGGCGGAAUGCUUUACACAUGCAAGUCGAGCGGCAGCGCGGGGCAACCUGGCGGCGAGCGGCGAACGGGUGAGUAAUGCAUCGGAACAUGUCCAUGUCGUGGGGGAUAGCCCGGCGAAAGCCGGAUUAAUACCGCAUACGCCCGAGAGGGGAAAGUGGGGGACCGCAAGGCCUCACGCGAUUGGGUUGGCCGAUGUCCGAUUAGCUUGUUGGUGAGGUAAAGGCUUACCAAGGCGAUGAUCGGUAGCUGGUCUGAGAGGAUGAUCAGCCACACUGGGACUGAGACACGGCCCAGACUCCUACGGGAGGCAGCAGUGGGGAAUUUUGGACAAUGGGGGCAACCCUGAUCCAGCCAUUCCGCGUGAGUGAAGAAGGCCUUCGGGUUGUAAAGCUCUUUUGUCCGGAGCGAAACGGGCGGUCCUAAUACGAUCGUCUACUGACGGUACCGGAAGAAUAAGCACCGGCUAACUACGUGCCAGCAGCCGCGGUAAUACGUAGGGUGCGAGCGUUAAUCGGAAUUACUGGGCGUAAAGCGUGCGCAGGCGGUUUUGUAAGCCAGACGUGAAAUCCUCGGGCUUAACCUGGGAAUGGCGUUUGGGACUGCAAGGCUGGAGUAUGGCAGAGGGGACUAGAAUUUCUGGUGUAGCAGUGAAAUGCGUAGAUAUCAGGAGGAAUACUCGAUGGCGAAGGCAGGUCUCUGGGCUAAUACUGACGCUCAUGCACGAAAGCGUGGGGAGCAAACAGGAUUAGAUACUCUGAUAGUCCACGCUCUAAACGAUGUCGACUGGUUGUUGGGGGAUUUGACACUCUCAGUAACGAAGCUAACGCGUGAAGUCGAUCGCCUGGGGGAGUACGGCCGCAAGGUUAAAACUCAUAGGUAGUG
This 913-nucleotide ribosomal RNA is filed under the name uncultured bacterium. RNAcentral's name for it is "bacterial SSU rRNA". It matches the Rfam family "Bacterial small subunit ribosomal RNA", at positions 1 to 912 of the family's 1533-position model. The record is from RNAcentral.